Molecule: ribosomal RNA, 292 nt
Filed under: uncultured bacterium
Lineage: Bacteria
Description: partial 16S ribosomal RNA
Rfam family: Bacterial small subunit ribosomal RNA
Source: RNAcentral
GUGUCAGCAGCCGCGGUAAGACGAACCAUGCAAACGUUAUUCGGAAUUACUGGGCUUAAAGCGUGCGUAGGCGGCUCAGAAAGUUGGGUGUGAAAGCCCUCGGCUCAACCGAGGAAUUGCGCCCAAAACUACUGGGCUUGAGGGAGUUAGAGGUGAGCGGAACUCACGGUGGAGCGGUGAAAUGCGUUGAUAUCGUGAGGAACACCGGAGGCGAAAGCGGCUCACUGGGGCUUAUCUGACGCUGAGGCACGAAAGCUAGGGGAGCAAACGGGAUUAGAAACCCCAGUAGUCC